This 255-nucleotide ribosomal RNA is filed under the name uncultured bacterium. RNAcentral's name for it is "partial 16S ribosomal RNA". It matches the Rfam family "Bacterial small subunit ribosomal RNA", at positions 524 to 776 of the family's 1533-position model. The record is from RNAcentral.
UACAGAGGUCUCAACCGUUGUUCGGAUUCAUUGGGCGUAAAGGGUGCGUAGGCGGUCGCGCAAGUCGGAUGUGAAAUCUCAGGGCUCAACCCUGAAACUGCAUUCGAUACUGCGUGGCUAGAGUGCUGGAGAGGAGACUGGAAUUUUACGGUGUAGCAGUGAAAUGCGUAGAUAUCAGGAGGAACACCGGUGGCGAAGGCGGGUCUCUGGGCAGUAACUGACGCUGAGGAGCGAAAGCGUGGGGGAGCGAACAGG